UUAUUUUUUAUUUAUUUUCAAAAACCGAAGGGAAACCCUACCUCCUCUUCUUUAUCUCUAUGAAACGUUGUACGUGAUAGCUCAUAUGUGUGAAGGUUUUUUCAUGAAAAUGUCCAUAGACAAAGUUUAUGAUUUUUGGUUGAUAACAUGUCACACAAGACAACAUUGUGCAGGUUUUAUAUUUUUUGAUUUUUUUAAUUAAUGGUGCUCAUUUGACUCGAUCGUGCUAGCUAGGUUUUUUUUGUAAAUGAUCGUAUACCAACUUUAGUAUUUUUCCUCGUUAGUGUGGGGAGGACUAGGAUAGAAUUUGGGCUUAGGGUAGAAGAAUAGGAAAAAAGAUUCUGGGCCGCUGGAUCAGGCAUGUACGCCACGGAUUCGAGUGGAUGGAUCUGUGCUGAAAACUACACAAUUCUGUGCUAACAUGUCCCUUUGCUCCCCACUAAUUUGCUCCAGGUCCUUCUGCUUCAAAACGACUCUCGUUGUCGGUCGCUACCCGUCCCCCUCUCUGGUCGACGGUGGCGGCUGCCCAGAUCGGCAGAUCCGUUGCUUCCCUGGUCGACAACGGACACGGUCUCCUCCUCCCUGGUGGCCACAGGCGCCCCGCCCGGUCAGCUGCACAUUCUUAGAUCCGGAGGCCAAUCUAGUAGAGGUCGAGUCCAUGGUGAUGUUGCCACGGUUUCUCCUCCCCGGUGCUCCUAGAUCCAACAAUAGCUCACUAGAGGCAAGGCGGUGGUUCUUGAUCUCCUCGCCUCCUUCGCCUUGCAGGCUCGGCAGCAAGCACAUGAAGACUCAUGAGCAAGAUGCACUAUAACUGGAGGCAAAAGGGAAUAACUUUUCUUUGAUGUGCAAUCAGAUAACAAACCCAAUGCAAGCUUUGGUAGUGAUGCUUAUUUAGCAGGGACCACUUCAGACCAUACUCGGGGCUCUCUGUUCAUGUACUAGAAAAGGAUCGUGUCAUGUUAAGUUAUAUAUGUAUGUCUCUUGUGUACUCAAAUUAGGAUGGAUGUCAUGCACUCAAAUAUUUCUACCUAUGCUGAUCCAUUUGGACAUGUAUUCAAAAUUUGUGCUUGACAUGUACUCGUA
Molecule: long non-coding RNA, 1083 nt
Organism: Aegilops tauschii subsp. strangulata
Lineage: Eukaryota; Viridiplantae; Streptophyta; Magnoliopsida; Poales; Poaceae
Source: RefSeq, a predicted model, not a curated record